This 963-nucleotide ribosomal RNA is filed under the name Pseudomonas aeruginosa. RNAcentral's name for it is "bacterial SSU rRNA". It matches the Rfam family "Bacterial small subunit ribosomal RNA", at positions 56 to 1014 of the family's 1533-position model. The record is from RNAcentral. Lineage: Bacteria; Pseudomonadati; Pseudomonadota; Gammaproteobacteria; Pseudomonadales; Pseudomonadaceae.
UGCAGUCGAGCGGAUGAAGGGAGCUUGCUCCUGGAUUCAGCGGCGGACGGGUGAGUAAUGCCUAGGAAUCUGCCUGGUAGUGGGGGAUAACGUCCGGAAACGGGCGCUAAUACCGCAUACGUCCUGAGGGAGAAAGUGGGGGAUCUUCGGACCUCACGCUAUCAGAUGAGCCUAGGUCGGAUUAGCUAGUUGGUGGGGUAAAGGCCUACCAAGGCGACGAUCCGUAACUGGUCUGAGAGGAUGAUCAGUCACACUGGAACUGAGACACGGUCCAGACUCCUACGGGAGGCAGCAGUGGGGAAUAUUGGACAAUGGGCGAAAGCCUGAUCCAGCCAUGCCGCGUGUGUGAAGAAGGUCUUCGGAUUGUAAAGCACUUUAAGUUGGGAGGAAGGGCAGUAAGUUAAUACCUUGCUGUUUUGACGUUACCAACAGAAUAAGCACCGGCUAACUUCGUGCCAGCAGCCGCGGUAAUACGAAGGGUGCAAGCGUUAAUCGGAAUUACUGGGCGUAAAGCGCGCGUAGGUGGUUCAGCAAGUUGGAUGUGAAAUCCCCGGGCUCAACCUGGGAACUGCAUCCAAAACUACUGAGCUAGAGUACGGUAGAGGGUGGUGGAAUUUCCUGUGUAGCGGUGAAAUGCGUAGAUAUAGGAAGGAACACCAGUGGCGAAGGCGACCACCUGGACUGAUACUGACACUGAGGUGCGAAAGCGUGGGGAGCAAACAGGAUUAGAUACCCUGGUAGUCCACGCCGUAAACGAUGUCGACUAGCCGUUGGGAUCCUUGAGAUCUUAGUGGCGCAGCUAACGCGAUAAGUCGACCGCCUGGGGGAGUACGGCCGCAAGGUUAAAACUCAAAUGAAAUUGACGGGGGCCCGCACAAGCGGUGGAACAUGUGGGUUUAAUUCGAAGCAACGCGAAGAACCUUACCUGGCCUUGACUGCUGAGACUUUCCAGAGAUGGAUUGG